CUUUUGCGCCGAAUUUGUUCUAUGUUGGGUAGACACAGGGAUGCCCCAGUACGGCGAGUGAAGCGGCAACAGCUCAAAUUUGAAAUCUGGCCCCCUUGGGGUCCGAGUUGUAAUUUGCAGAGGGAGCUUUUGGCGUCGGUCGUGGUCUAAGUUCCUUGGAACAGGACGUCACAGAGGGUGAGAAUCCCGUACGUGGCCGCCGGCCUUCGCCUUGUAAAGCCCCUUCGACGAGUCGAGUUGUUUGGGAAUGCAGCUCUAAAUGGGAGGUAAAUUUCUUCUAAAGCUAAAUACCCGCCAGAGACCGAUAGCGCACAAGUAGAGUGAUCGAAAGAUGAAAAGCACUUUGGAAAGAGAGUGAAAAAGCACGUGAAAUUGUUGAAAGGGAAGCGCUUGCAGCCAGACGUGCCCGCGGUUGAUCAUCCAGGCUCCAGCCUGGUGCACUCCUCCGCGGGCAGGCCAGCAUCAGUUCGGGCGGUCGGAUAAAGGCCUCUAUCACGUACCACCCCUCGGGGUGGCCUUAUAGGGGAGGCGCAACACGGCCAGCCCGGACUGAGGUUCCGCGCAUCUGCUAGGAUGCUGGCGUAAUGGCGGCAAGCGGCCCGUCUUGAAACACGGACCAAGGAGUCUAACAUCUAUGCGAGUGUUUGGGUGUCAAGCCCGAGCGCGCAAUGAAAGUGAACGGAGGUGGGAACCCUCACGGGUGCACCAUCGACCGAUCCUGAUGUCUUCGGAUGGAUUUGAGUAAGAGCAUAGCUGUUGGGACCCGAAAGAUGGUGAACUAUGCCUGAAUAGGGUGAAGCCAGAGGAAACUCUGGUGGAGGCUCGCAGCGGUUCUGACGUGCAAAUCGAUCGUCAAAUUUGGGCAUAGGGGCGAAAGACUAAUCGAACCAUCUAGUAGCUGGUUCCUGCCAGUUCCCCCCCCCGAGAAAAACGGGCUACGGAAUGGUUCGAUUAGUCUUUCGCCCCUUUCCCAAUUUGACAAUGAUUUGCCGUCAAACCCUCCCAACUCCCCCAAAGUUUCCCCUGGCUUCCCCUAUUCGGGCUAAU
This 1047-nucleotide ribosomal RNA is filed under the name Torula chromolaenae. Its description in RNAcentral is "partial large subunit ribosomal RNA". It matches the Rfam family "Eukaryotic large subunit ribosomal RNA", at positions 1 to 982 of the family's 3401-position model. Lineage: Eukaryota; Fungi; Ascomycota; Dothideomycetes; Pleosporales; Torulaceae. The record is from RNAcentral.